ACCGGUCUUCGGUCAAGGGUAUACGAGUAGCUGCGCUCCCCUGCUAGAACCUCCAAACAAGCUCUCAAGGUCCAUAAAUCAUAGAGUUAGUAUGUGAUGAAGCUGGGAUUUGAAUUCAAGCAGAGAACAUGGUUUUGACCAUUAUGC
RNAcentral lists this small nuclear RNA (147 nucleotides) under Pan troglodytes (chimpanzee). RNAcentral's name for it is "7SK RNA". It matches the Rfam family "7SK RNA", at positions 172 to 331 of the family's 331-position model. Rfam says of the family: 7SK was discovered as an abundant small nuclear RNA in the mid-70s but a possible function has only recently been suggested. Lineage: Eukaryota; Metazoa; Chordata; Mammalia; Primates; Hominidae. The record is from Rfam by way of RNAcentral.